This 253-nucleotide ribosomal RNA is filed under the name uncultured bacterium. RNAcentral's name for it is "partial 16S ribosomal RNA". It matches the Rfam family "Bacterial small subunit ribosomal RNA", at positions 524 to 776 of the family's 1533-position model. The record is from RNAcentral.
UACGUAGGGUGCGAGCGUUGUCCGGAUUUAUUGGGCGUAAAGGGCGCGUAGGCGGCUCAUGAAGGCUGUGGUGAAAGUCCGGGGCUCAACCUCGGAUCGGCCGUGGCGACUCGUGGGCUGGAGCACUGUAGAGGCGGGUGGAAUUCCGGGUGUAGCGGUGGAAUGCGUAGAGAUCCGGAAGAACACCAGUGGCGAAGGCGGCCCGCUGGGCAGUGGCUGACGCUGAGGCGCGACAGCGUGGGGAGCAAACAGG